UACGAAGGGAGCUAGCGUUGUUCGGAAUCACUGGGCGUAAAGCGCACGUAGGCGGAUUUGUCAGUCAGGGGUGAAAUCCCGGGGCUCAACCUCGGAACUGCCUUUGAUACAGCAAGUCUUGAGUUCGAGAGAGGUGGGUGGAAUUCCUAGUGUAGAGGUGAAAUUCGUAGAUAUCGGGAGGAAUACCAGUGGCGAAGGCGCUGACCUGGACGAAGAUUGACGCUGAGGUGCGAAAGCGUGGGGAGCAAACAGG
This 253-nucleotide ribosomal RNA is filed under the name uncultured bacterium. Its description in RNAcentral is "partial 16S ribosomal RNA". It matches the Rfam family "Bacterial small subunit ribosomal RNA", at positions 524 to 776 of the family's 1533-position model. The record is from RNAcentral.